This is a long non-coding RNA of Chroicocephalus ridibundus (black-headed gull), 456 nucleotides long. RefSeq lists it as uncharacterized. Lineage: Eukaryota; Metazoa; Chordata; Aves; Charadriiformes; Laridae. The transcript has 4 exons. The record is from RefSeq and is a predicted model, not a curated record.
GCAGGAUUAAGAGGAGAGAUAAAACCUUGUAAAGCGUCCAUGAAAUCUGGCCGUCUCAUUUGUUCAACAAGAAACUUCAUCUGUACCUGGUAAAUAACCACAUUCAGGUUUUGAAAACACUAACUGCAUGUAAACGAAGACCUACACAGAGAGGAAGAACGGUUAUAGCUUAAAGACAAGACCACUUAGAGGUGCCAAAAAUGAAGCUAUACCUGUAACAUCUUCCCGAUGGCUGCUUAUGGAUCCUUCUUUUCAGAAUCCGAUUGAUACCAUAAGGUGGUGUCAGGAACCAUGCAUGAAGAACUGAGCUUUUGAAGAGGAACUUUGAAUACAGCGUGUUUUCCUAAAUGGAUUGCCAUGCUGAAUUUUCUCAGUUGGAAGAGGCUGCAGCUUCCAAGGACAGCAUUAAGUUUUCAAUGUGUCUUUAGCUACUAAAACAGUUUUACAAAGAAGUAA